This is a long non-coding RNA of Daphnia carinata, 1156 nucleotides long. RefSeq lists it as uncharacterized. Lineage: Eukaryota; Metazoa; Arthropoda; Branchiopoda; Diplostraca; Daphniidae. The record is from RefSeq and is a predicted model, not a curated record. The transcript has 7 exons.
GGCCUGCCACGGCUCCCCGCGUUCCGGAGCAGCUUCAGGAAUCAUUUCCCGUAUGUAACCAGGCUGAACUGUUGGUAGAACACGCCUACAUUUUUCAUCAACGAAAUAAGCCAUACGACGAGGAGGAAAAACCCAAUGGAUCGGAUCUUGAGUGCACCGUGAUGGCUAAACAAAUAGCGCGAUAGAGAAUCGGGCAUUUCAAAGAAGAGGCAAGAGCCUCAUCCAUUACACUGACGAAAUUGACAUUCAACAGGAUAUCCGAUGUUGCAAUCUUUAAGAACAAGUUGCAGCAUCUGCGCGAUCUACGUUGCCUGCGUGACAACCGUCUAAUUGCUAUUCUUUCCUCCUUUUCAUUCUUCGCUGUCGUCAUUCGUGAGAGGCGAAACGAAUCAUCUGGGUUGAAAGUGGCUCUAUCGACGUUCCAGCACAUCCGCAAUAAUCUCAGUUGAGUGAGCAACCAUUCCAAUAAAAGACAAAUUGUCCUAUACAAAAGAGAUGUAACGAGCGAAGAGCGGAUUUUCGACGAACGUGUCUCUUCGUAUGGAAACUAUUAUUCUCUUUGACUCAUUUUCUGUUCCAUCGAUUUUUUUUUAAAAUUACAAAUCGAGUAAAAUAGGCACGGCUAAAAAUGUACGAAGAGAUAAAAUCACUUGGGUCUAUUAAUUGGAAAACAAUUGCGACAGUCGACACGAUUAUUAUGAAUUUCAUUCGGAUAAACAGAUUGACACAGACGGGACAUCAAAAGCCAAUCGGCGGUAGGACCAAGGCGAUGGUGUCCUGAUGUAGGGAUUGUUGUCAUUGAUUUUUGUUUUUAGCGACGGGCAAUUGUUAUUACGACGAGAGGAACUUCACGCGUGAAGCAUCAUCGCCAAUGAAAUGAGAUGGCCGCCAAGAAGUUGUCAAGGAUAACCAGACCGACAAUCACUUUUCUAUCUCCUUGCUAUUCGGACCGACCUCGCCCUGUUUCGGACACGUGUAAUAAACUGUUACUGAAGAAUGAGGGAAGACAUCAACGAAGAAACCGAAAAGGUGGAGUCGUUCUAUGCCAAACUCUAUUGUGAUGCAUUCUGCCAGAGAAAAGUUGGACCAAACAUCAGAGGAUUUGCACUCAUAUUGUAACUAAUUCAUAUUUUGUUAUUUUCACAUUACUCUUAAA